UGCUUGAAGCCUGCUACUCUUUGCUUAGAUAGAAAGCCAGUGAGAUGGUUUCUGUGCCUGACCCCUUUUUCCUAAAUGAAAGAGCAGCAAUGAAUGCUGUGGUGGCGUAAAGCCUCACAUGCAUUAAUGAACAAUAACUAGGCAGGGAUUCUCUUUGGGGCUACAGUCUGGCCAGUUCCUCUCAUAGUCUGUGCAAGAUCUCUGAAGGACUCUUCUGUGCCUGUGACCGGAUGUCAGCAUUUGAAUCUGGGGCGGAGUGAUUCACAUCGGGAGGAACUCUAUUCCAGUAGGAGAUUGUCGUCCUGCUGUGUCUGUGAGGUUCAGGGGCAGCUGUGAGGGGAGGUUGGAGGCUGCAUGGUUCCUGCUUCAAGGAAUGUCUGCAAAAAAAGAAAAUAACAGUUUGACCGUAUAUGGAUGUGAGAAGGGGAGGCUGCCGAGUGCUUCACCAUGAAACUGCCCACCCAGAGAUCUCAACUAACAUAAAACACUAGUUGGAGGUGGUAUAGUACUUUCUAAAGUGAGCAGAUUCUCCAAGGUGAUAACAGCAGUCUAGAAAAUCAUGUUGAAAAUGGAGUUGAAGCUGAAGAGCCUAACGGGUUUUGCCAGCAUAUCACACAUCUCGUUUUGCCAUAAACG
Long non-coding RNA from Eublepharis macularius, 636 nucleotides. RefSeq lists it as uncharacterized. Lineage: Eukaryota; Metazoa; Chordata; Lepidosauria; Squamata; Eublepharidae. The record is from RefSeq and is a predicted model, not a curated record. The transcript is spliced from 4 exons.